ACGGGAGGCAGCAGUGGGGAAUAUUGCACAAUGGGGGAAACCCUGAUGCAGCAACGCCGCGUGAGUGAAGAAGUAUUUCGGUAUGUAAAGCUCUAUCAGCAGGGAAGAUAAUGACGGUACCUGACUAAGAAGCUCCGGCUAAAUACGUGCCAGCAGCCGCGGUAAUACGUAUGGAGCAAGCGUUAUCCGGAUUUACUGGGUGUAAAGGGUGUGUAGGCGGCAAGGCAAGUCAGAAGUGAAAUGCCGGGGCUCAACUCCGGAGCUGCUUUUGAAACUGCCAUGCUGGAGUCCAGGAGAGGCAGGCGGAAUUCCUAGUGUAGCGGUGAAAUGCGUAGAUAUUAGGAAGAACACCAGUGGCGAAGGCGGCCUGCUGGACUGGAACUGACGCUGAGGCACGAAAGCGUGGGGAGCAAACAGGAUUAGAUACCCUGGUA
Molecule: ribosomal RNA, 434 nt
Filed under: uncultured Lachnospiraceae bacterium
Lineage: Bacteria; Bacillati; Bacillota; Clostridia; Lachnospirales; Lachnospiraceae
Description: bacterial SSU rRNA
Rfam family: Bacterial small subunit ribosomal RNA
Source: RNAcentral